UUUUUCGGAGAGUUUGAUCCUGGCUCAGGACGAACGCUGGCGGCGUGCCUAAUACAUGCAAGUCGAGCGGACAGAAGGGAGCUUGCUCCCGGAUGUUAGCGGCGGACGGGUGAGUAACACGUGGGUAACCUGCCUGUAAGACUGGGAUAACUCCGGGAAACCGGAGCUAAUACCGGAUAGUUGUUUGAACCGCAUGGUUCAAACAUAAAAGACGGUUUCGGCUGUCACUUACAGAUGGACCCGCGGCGCAUUAGCUAGUUGGUGAGGUAACGGCUCACCAAGGCGACGAUGCGUAGCCGACCUGAGAGGGUGAUCGGCCACACUGGGACUGAGACACGGCCCAGACUCCUACGGGAGGCAGCAGUAGGGAAUCUUCCGCAAUGGACGAAAGUCUGACGGAGCAACGCCGCGUGAGUGAUGAAGGUUUUCGGAUCGUAAAGCUCUGUUGUUAGGGAAGAACAAGU
RNAcentral lists this ribosomal RNA (464 nucleotides) under Enterobacter cloacae. RNAcentral's name for it is "bacterial SSU rRNA". It matches the Rfam family "Bacterial small subunit ribosomal RNA", at positions 1 to 454 of the family's 1533-position model. Lineage: Bacteria; Pseudomonadati; Pseudomonadota; Gammaproteobacteria; Enterobacterales; Enterobacteriaceae. The record is from RNAcentral.